Molecule: long non-coding RNA, 240 nt
Filed under: Sorghum bicolor (sorghum)
Lineage: Eukaryota; Viridiplantae; Streptophyta; Magnoliopsida; Poales; Poaceae
Description: long non-coding RNA (SBIC_LNC000515)
Source: RNAcentral
UGGAUUGCUCACAAUCACACUCACGAACACAGAAUUUUGGAACACAGGAAAUGAGAGGAACAGGGAGCUUUCUUUCUCUUGUUUCACCAUUCUGAUUCUUGCUUUACAAGUAUGAGAGUGACCUCCUAUUUAUAGAGGUACAAAGAGAAUAGAUACAAAUCAUCUAUAGUAUUUGAACACUAAGACUUUCCUCCUCUCCUUCAUUUAAUUGGCCACCAUUCAAAGUCAUUUGUUCAUAUU